This 713-nucleotide long non-coding RNA is filed under the name Anas platyrhynchos platyrhynchos (common mallard). RNAcentral describes it as "lncRNA (ENSAPLG00000021759.1)". Lineage: Eukaryota; Metazoa; Chordata; Aves; Anseriformes; Anatidae. The record is from RNAcentral.
AUUAGGAAUGUCAACUGUCUCAUUUGCACAUGGAAAGACGCGGAGGGGGAUACUUGCACACAAAUAAGUAGCUGGUGAUGGCGCUGGUUACAAGCGAUCGUGGACUGAAGACUGCUGCCAGAAAAUUCAGAGCUCUUUUUGGAAAAGGUGGCUCAAAGCACAGCGAUGGAAGAACGAUGGUGUGCACCAGCAGUUAAGAACAACAGCUUUUGCUCCCUUGCACUCCAUACAAAACAGCAGCAGCAGCCCCGCAGCAUGUCUACACGCCGAAGGUCCGUGCCUGCUCCUGGGAGUUACCUGAUGAAUAACUCCAUUUUCCAGCUGCUCGGUGAAUGGCUCUCCACCUACAUCGCUCUUCUCGAUUCUCCAAGGCUCCAGAAGAAAGUGAUCUCCUCCUAAGCAUCCGUUCCUCACAUUUCUGCAUGGCAGUUACCUGUGGGCUGAUUCCUGAUGCUCCUCCUCAGGGCCAAGGCUGGGACCAGCCUGCGCAGCGAGGCACCGAUCCUGCAGCUUGGGGUGGCGGCUGGGCAGCAGCGUGCUCUGCAGACAUCUGCAAUGCCCUGGCCGUACCCUGCAAGGCACGCAGAUACACAGACACCCACGAUGAAGUCGCCAGGGCCCUGGGCAAACAUCAGGUACACCCGGACACAGGCGGCAAUAGCAGACAAGUUCUUAAAAAAAGUCCUGUCACUCCCACCGUUUUGCUGGGAUGA